RNAcentral lists this small RNA (1152 nucleotides) under uncultured Lysobacteraceae bacterium. RNAcentral's name for it is "bacterial SSU rRNA". The stretch from base 1 to 490 matches the Rfam family "Bacterial small subunit ribosomal RNA", at positions 1045 to 1533 of the family's 1533-position model. Lineage: Bacteria; Pseudomonadati; Pseudomonadota; Gammaproteobacteria; Lysobacterales; Lysobacteraceae. The record is from RNAcentral.
AUGGCUGUCGUCAGCUCGUGCCGUGAGGUGUUGCCUUAAGUGGCGCAACGAGCGCAACCCUUGUCCUUAGUUGCCAGCACGUAAUGGUGGGAACUCUAAGGAGACCGCCGGUGACAAACCGGAGGAAGGUGGGGAUGACGUCAAGUCAUCAUGGCCCUUACGGCCAGGGCUACACACGUACUACAAUGGGAGGUACAGAGGGUCGCAAAACCGCGAGGUUGAGCCAAUCCCAGAAAACCUCUCUCAGUCCGGAUCGGAGUCUGCAACUCGACUCCGUGAAGUCGGAAUCGCUAGUAAUCGCGAAUCAGCAUUGUCGCGGUGAAUACGUUCCCGGGCCUUGUACACACCGCCCGUCACACCAUGGGAGUUGGUUGCUCCAGAAGCAGGUAGUCUAACCGUAAGGAGGACGCUUGCCACGGAGUGGUCAAUGACUGGGGUGAAGUCGUAACAAGGUAGCCGUAUCGGAAGGUGCGGCUGGAUCACCUCCUUUCGAGUACGACGUACCACUCCAUGGCGUCCACACAAGACACCUGCAUUCAGAAGCAUUCGAGCCCACAGGGGCUCGAGGGCCUAGCGCCCGUUAAUAUCGGGGCUGUAGCUCAGCUGGGAGAGCACCUGCUUUGCAAGCAGGGGGUCAGCGGUUCGAUCCCGCUCAGCUCCACCAGUUUGAUGUUAUGGGUCCUCCACGCAGUACUCCGUCAGCGAUGACAGGAUUCUGCGAACAAGACCGGGUCUGUAGCUCAGGUGGUUAGAGCGCACCCCUGAUAAGGGUGAGGUCGGUAGUUCGAGUCUACCCAGACCCACCAUUAUUGACGGUCCGUUACCAGCCAACGCUACUUCUGAAUGCCUGCACACACUUAAUCGAAUUUUUCCUGUGAAGCGUUGAAGCUUCGCGGGGUUCUUUGAAAACUUGGGACGUAACAACAAUAGCGUCUGAACUCUCACCGAGUCAGAUGUGUCGUUGAGGCAAUUAGGCGGAAAUAUGAUUGUUGAUCGAUCCGGAGGCGACUUCGGGUUAUAUGAUCAAGCGAAUAAGCGUCUACGGUGGAUGCCUUGGCAGUCAGAGGCGAUGAAGGACGUGACAGCCUGCGAAAAGCUCCGGGGAGCUGGCAAUAUGCAUUGAUCCGGAGAUGUCCGAAUGGGGAAACCCGG